RNAcentral lists this ribosomal RNA (658 nucleotides) under Heterodera aucklandica. RNAcentral describes it as "eukaryotic LSU rRNA". It matches the Rfam family "Eukaryotic large subunit ribosomal RNA", at positions 408 to 904 of the family's 3401-position model. Lineage: Eukaryota; Metazoa; Nematoda; Chromadorea; Rhabditida; Heteroderidae. The record is from RNAcentral.
AUGAGGUGGAAACGGACAGAGCUGGCGUAUCUGGUCUGCAUUCACCCGUCUGUUGUUGGACGUUGGGCUUCCUGCCUCCAGACUGGGGUCGGUUGUCUUUCUGUUCAGCGGCUGAUGGGGCAUUUGCAGGUGGAGUGCGCUGAGAUGCUCGGGGUAGCUGCGUGAACUCGGCUUUGAGGCCAGCCCUUCGGGGUCUGGUACCCGGGUCGGGGGAAUGCUGUUUACUCUGGGUGAGAGUGUGCAAUGGUUUCGGGUCCGUGUUGGUUCGAGCUGAGUGUCGGUGGCGGUCGCAUGCGACACGUACCAGCAAUCAGUUCGGUCCAGCUCGGGCUCUCAUUUGUGCGUUCUCGGUGUAAAAGCCGGUUAUCUGUCCGACCCGUCUUGAAACACGGACCAAGGAGUUUAGCGUAUGCGCGAGUCAUUGGGUGUUGAAAACCCAAAGGCGUAAUGAAAGUGAAGGCAUCCUUGCGGAGCUGAUGUGUGAUCCCUGGCACUGCGGUGUUGGGGCGCAACAUAGUCCCGUCUCGAUCGCAUGCGAUGGGGCGGAGACAGAGCGUAUGCGCUGAGACCCGAAAGAUGGUGAACUAUUCCUGAGCAGGAUGAAGCCAGAGGAAACUCUGGUGGAAGUCCGAAGCGAUUCUGACGUGCAAAUCGAUCG